RNAcentral lists this long non-coding RNA (306 nucleotides) under Lactuca sativa (garden lettuce). RNAcentral describes it as "long non-coding RNA (LSAT_LNC004058)". Lineage: Eukaryota; Viridiplantae; Streptophyta; Magnoliopsida; Asterales; Asteraceae. The record is from RNAcentral.
UCGCGUGCUAAUUUGUUGAGUAACAUUCGGAAGAAGCGCGUGGGGAUGUAGAAGGCGGGGACGAGAGGUUGUAGGAUCGGGGAGAACCAGAAGAGGAGGUGUUCGAGGGCGGUGAAAGGGAAUGAUGAGUCGUGGUGGAAUCCGGCGGGUGAGAGGAGGAUGAGCCGAGAGAGGUGGUGGGGCUUUUCUUGAAUCCGGCGGGUUAUUAGGUACAUGAGGAUGGCGGCACCACCUAAGCUGUGGCAGAUUGCAAAAAGUUUGUAUGGUUGUUCGGUUUCUAAUUCUUGUGUGUUGUGUUCUAAUUCG